RNAcentral lists this transfer RNA (62 nucleotides) under Barbatia decussata. RNAcentral describes it as "tRNA-Gln". The record is from RNAcentral. Lineage: Eukaryota; Metazoa; Mollusca; Bivalvia; Arcoida; Arcidae.
UGUGGCAAAGUAUGGUGUACGUAGAGUUUUGAUCUCUAAGGGGUGGGGAAGCACUGUCGCAA